This 337-nucleotide ribosomal RNA is filed under the name uncultured Pseudomonadota bacterium. RNAcentral's name for it is "bacterial SSU rRNA". It matches the Rfam family "Bacterial small subunit ribosomal RNA", at positions 28 to 351 of the family's 1533-position model. Lineage: Bacteria; Pseudomonadati; Pseudomonadota. The record is from RNAcentral.
GAUGAACGCUGGCGGCGUGCCUAACACAUGCAAGUCGAGCGAGAAAGCCCGCAAGGGUGAGUAAAGCGGCGCACGGGUGAGUAACACGUGGGUAAUCUGCCCUGGAAUCUGGAAUAACCCGCCGAAAGGCGUGCUAAUGCCGGAUAAGACCACGGGAGCCUCGGCUCCUGGGGGAAAAGGUGGCCUCUGUAUACAAGCUAUCGUUCCAGGAUGAGCCCGCGUCCCAUCAGCUCGUUGGCGGGGUAAUGGCCCACCAAGGCUACGACGGGUAGCUGGUCUGAGAGGACGAUCAGCCACACUGGAACUGAGACACGGUCCAGACACCUACGGGAGGCAG